RNAcentral lists this non-coding RNA (939 nucleotides) under Fonchiiloricaria nanodon. RNAcentral's name for it is "partial 12S ribosomal RNA". It matches the Rfam family "Bacterial small subunit ribosomal RNA". Lineage: Eukaryota; Metazoa; Chordata; Actinopteri; Siluriformes; Loricariidae. The record is from RNAcentral.
GGUUUGGUCCUGACUUUACUGUAAGCUUUAAUCCAAUUUAUACAUGCAAGUAUCCGCACCCCCGUGAAAAUGCCCUCAAUCCCCUGCCCGAGGAAGAGGAGCUGGUAUCAGGCACAAGCCCAAGACGCCUUGCUUAGCCACACCCCUAAGGGAAUUCAGCAGUAAUAAACAUUAAGCUAUAAGUGUAAACUUGACUUAGUUAAGAUUAAGAGGGUCGGUAAAAUCCGUGCCAGCCACCGCGGUUAUACGAAAGACCCCAGUUUAUAGAUACGGCGUAAAGGGUGGUUAAGGAAGAAACCAAAAUAAUGCCAAAGCCUCUCCAAGCAGUUAUACGCUCUACGAGAUAAUGAAGCCCAAAUACGAAGGUUGCCUUAACAAAAUUCUACCUGACCCCACGAAAGCUGAAUUAAAAACUGGGAUUAGAUACCCCACUAUGCUUAGCCUUAAACCUAGAUGUAAAAUUACAAAAACAUCCGCCAGGGGACUACAAGCCUAGCUUAAAACCCAAAGGACUUGGCGGUGCCUCAGAUCCCCCUAGAGGAGCCUGUUCUAGAACCGAUAACCCCCGUUAAACCUCACCACCCCUUGCCCUUCCCGCCUAUAUACCGCCGUCGUCAGCUUACCCUAUGAAGGUCUAAUAGUAAGCAAAAUGAGUUAAACCCAAAACGUCAGGUCGAGGUGUAGCGAAUGAGGUGGUAAGAAAUGGGCUACAUUUUCUACCACAGAAUAUUACGAAUAGUGCCCUGAAAACAGCACUUGAAGGAGGAUUUAGCAGUAAAAAGCAAGCAGAGCGUGCUUUUGAAUUAGGCUCUGAGGCGCGCACACACCGCCCGUCACUCUCCCCCACCAAUAAAAACCUAUUUCUUAAUGCCUAAAAAAAUAUACGGGGAGGCAAGUCGUAACAUGGUAAGUGUACCGGAAGGUGUACUUGGAACAAUU